GCAUCCAUGGCUGAAUGGUUAAAGCGUCCAACUCAUAAUUGGUAAAUUUUGCGGGUUCAAUUCCUGUUGGAUGCA
Molecule: transfer RNA, 75 nt
Filed under: Triticum aestivum (bread wheat)
Lineage: Eukaryota; Viridiplantae; Streptophyta; Magnoliopsida; Poales; Poaceae
Also listed under: 1 other name
Rfam family: tRNA
About the family: Transfer RNA (tRNA) molecules are approximately 80 nucleotides in length. Their secondary structure includes four short double-helical elements and three loops (D, anti-codon, and T loops). Further hydrogen bonds mediate the characteristic L-shaped molecular structure. tRNAs have two regions of fundamental functional importance: the anti-codon, which is responsible for specific mRNA codon recognition, and the 3' end, to which the tRNAs corresponding amino acid is attached (by aminoacyl-tRNA synthetases). tRNAs cope with the degeneracy of the genetic code in two manners: having more than one tRNA (with a specific anti-codon) for a particular amino acid; and 'wobble' base-pairing, i.e. permitting non-standard base-pairing at the 3rd anti-codon position.
Source: Rfam by way of RNAcentral